This 468-nucleotide ribosomal RNA is filed under the name uncultured bacterium. RNAcentral's name for it is "partial 16S ribosomal RNA". It matches the Rfam family "Bacterial small subunit ribosomal RNA", at positions 28 to 507 of the family's 1533-position model. The record is from RNAcentral.
GACGAACGCUGGCGGCGUGCUUAACACAUGCAAGUCGAACGGAAAGGCCCUGCUUUUGUGGGGUGCCCGAGUGGCGAACGGGUGAGUAACACGUGAGUAACCUGCCCUUGACUUUGGGAUAACUUCAGGAAACUGGGGCUAAUACCGGAUAGGAGCUCCUGCUGCAUGGUGGGGGUUGGAAAGUUUCGGCGGUUGGGGAUGGACUCGCGGCUUAUCAGCUUGUUGGUGGGGUAGUGGCUUACCAAGGCUUUGACGGGUAGCCGGCCUGAGAGGGUGACCGGCCACAUUGGGACUGAGAUACGGCCCAGACUCCUACGGGAGGCAGCAGUGGGGAAUAUUGCGCAAUGGGCGGAAGCCUGAUGCAGCAACGCCGCGUGCGGGAUGACGGCCUUCGGGUUGUAAACCGCUUUCGCCGGUGACGAAGCGUGAGUGACGGUAAUGGGUAAAGAAGCACCGGCUAACUACGUG